RNAcentral lists this unclassified non-coding RNA (392 nucleotides) under Hevea brasiliensis (rubber tree). Lineage: Eukaryota; Viridiplantae; Streptophyta; Magnoliopsida; Malpighiales; Euphorbiaceae. The record is from RNAcentral.
UAUCAUUACCAUUAUGUUUACUGCGGCAUUUACCGUUCCUGGUGGAAAUAUUCAAGAAACUGGCUUUCCAAUAUUCUUGCGUGAGAAAUCUUUUUUGGUUUUCAUAAUCUCGGAUGCAAUUUCGCUCUUUGCUUCCUCAACUUCAGUACUGACAUUUCUAGGGAUCCUUACGUCACGUUAUGCAGAGGAAGAUUUCCUUAAAUCCUUACCCACGAAGUUAAUUAUUGGCCUUUUCAUGCUUUUCUUCUCUAUAGCAACCAUGAUGAUUGCCUUUUGUGCUUCUCUUAUAAUUAUUUUAGAUGGUAGGCUAUCGCUUGUCCUUCCAAUAAUUUUGCUUGCUAGCAUUCCUGUCACCCUCUUCAUAUUUCUGCAAUUUCCCCUGCUUGUUGAGA